GACGAACGCUGGCGGCGUGCUUAACACAUGCAAGUCGAGCGGUAAGGCCCUUUGGGGUACACGAGCGGCGAACGGGUGAGUAACACGUGAGUAAUCUGCCUUUGGCUUGGGAAUAACUUCGGGAAAUCGGGGCUAAUGCCUGAUGUUUACUGUCUGCUGCAUGGUGGGUGGUGGAAAGAUUUUUUGGCCAGGGAUGAGCUCGCGGUCUAUCAGCUUGUUGGUGGGGUAAUGGCUUACCAAGGCUUUGACGGGUAGCCGGCCUGAGAGGGUGUUCGGCCACACUGGGACUGAGACACGGCCCAGACUCCUACGGGAGGCAGCAGUGGGGAAUAUUGCGCAAUGGGCGUAAGCCUGACGCAGCGACGCCGNGUGGGGAUGAA
Molecule: ribosomal RNA, 380 nt
Filed under: uncultured bacterium
Lineage: Bacteria
Description: bacterial SSU rRNA
Rfam family: Bacterial small subunit ribosomal RNA
Source: RNAcentral